AUGCCAGUGGUGGAUGCCUUGGCAGAAAGAACCGAGGAAGGACGCGUCUACGACCGCGAUAACGACGGGUUGGUGUCUAUGAACCAUUAGCCGUCGGUUUCCGAAUGGGGUAACCCACUCCGUAAGGAGGGCUACUAUUUGAAGGCCUCGCAAGAGGGGAUAGGGUAGUAUGCGGGCACGUGCUGAACUGAAACAUCUAAGUAAGCACAGGAAAAGAAAAUAAUAAUGAUUCCCGUAGUAGCGGCGAGCGAACUGGGAAGAGGCUAAACUGCUUGUGCUCUGCACAAGGAAAUUCGAAAUCCGAAAUACGAAAUCCGAAACAAAUUCAAAUUUUUUAAAUCCAAAUUUUCUAAACAAGUCUGUUUUGAAUUUUAACAUUUAAAUUUUGGACAUUGUUUCGAGUUUCGAAAUUCGUGCUUUGGAUUUUCUCGCGCAGGGCGCGAGUGGGGUUGAGGGACUAGAAUGUGGUAUUGAUUGUUGAUAGGAGAACAGGCUGGAAAGCCUAACCAAAGAAAGUGAUAGUCUUGUAUCCGAAAUUGACAGUCAGCCUACUAGUAUCCCAAGUAUCAUGGGGCACGACACCCUGUGAGAAUCAGUGACGUCCAGCGUCAUAAGCCUAAACAUUCUUUCUGACCGAUAGCGAACUAGUACCGUGAGGGAAAGGUGAAAAGUACCCCGGAAGGGGAGUGAAAUAGUAACUGAAACCAUUGGCUAACAAACAGACGGAGUCCCGUUAGAAUUGUGGUUAUAAAGUUGAUCGUAUUGAGUUUGGCAACCAAGCCUCUCGAUACGGCCUCGGUUGUAACCAGAAUUCUAACGGGAUGACGUCGUGCCUAUUGAAGAAUGAACCGGUGAGUUGCUCUAAUACUGUGUUAACUUAAGCCACUUUGUGGCGGAAGUGAAGCGAAAGCGAGGUUUAAAUGACCGAAACUAGUAGUAUUAGGCAGACCCGAAGCCCGGUGAGCUAACCUUGAGCAGGGUGAAAGCCGAUGAAAAUCGGCUGGAGGCCCGAACUCGUUGUCGUUACAAGGACAUGGGAUGACUUGAGGUUAGAGGUUAUAUGCCUACCGAACCGGGGGAUAGCUGGUUCUCCCCGAAAUAUAUAUAGGUAUAGCCCCUGAAGAACUACUUUUUGCAGGUAGAGCACUGGAUGGUCCUGGUUGCGCAAGCUGUCAGGUCUAACCAAACUCCGAAUGGCAGAAAGUUUAUGCAGGGAGUCAGAAAGCGACGGCUAAGCGCCGUUUUCUAAAGGGAAACAGCCCAGACUCAAAGCUAAGGUCCCAAAGUCAGAUCUAAGUUAAAGGAUGUCAGAUCUUUAAGACACCCAGGAAGUUGGCUUAGAAGCAGCCAUCUUUUAAAGAAAGCGUAACAGCUCACUGGAAUAAAGGUCAGGCGCCGAAGAUGAUCGGGAAUUAAGAUCUGCACCGAAGCUUGAGAUCUUGUGCUCUGCACAAGGAAAUUCGAAAUCCGAAAUACGAAAUCCGAAACAAAUUCAAAUUUUUUAAAUCCAAAUUUUCUAAACAAGUCUGUUUUGAAUUUUAACAUUUAAAUUUUGGACAUUGUUUCGAGUUUCGAAAUUCGUGCUUUGGAUUUUCUCGCGCAGGGCGCGAGAUGGUAGGGGAGCGUUCUGUUCUAGGUUGAAGUCCGCCCGUAAGGGCGAGAUGGACGACGCAGAAGUGAGAAUGCCGGUAUGAGUAGCGUUAAAUCCCGGUGAGAGACCGGGACGCCGAAAGUCCAAGGUUUCCUCGGCAAUGUUAAUCAGCCGGGGGUGAGUCGGCCCUAAGCGUGAGCCAUUUGGCAUAGCGCGAUGGAUAACGGGUUAUUAUUCCCGUACAGUAGAUUGAUCGUUACAACUUAAGGGAGGACGAAGUGGAGAUAUCCUGGCCUGCGCAGUGAACAUCGUGGGCAAAAGUUCCGAAAUAGUGAUGAGUGGUAAACCCCUCAACAUGAUUAAUCGAGGAACGAUGUCGAUCCAAAAAGAAAUUUAGGAGAGUAGGAGAGUCUUCGUUUUCAAGAAAAUUCUCGUGAGGAGAUCAGUUUACUUCCGUACCAACAACCAACACAGGUGGACUGGUCGAGAAGACCAAGGCGAUCGGAAGAACUAUGCUUAAGGAACUCGGCAAAGCAGCUCGGCGUAACUUAGGGAGAUGCCGUGCCUUGUGCCUUGCACAAGGAAAUUCGAAAUCCUAAAUCCGAAAUUCGAAACGAUUUGAAAAUUUAAAUUUUGAUAAUUUGAAUUUGUUUCGGAUUUCGAUAUUCGGAUUUUCUCGCGCAGGGCGCGAGGCCGCAGCGAGUGAUUGCUAUGCAACUGUUUAACUAAAACACAGCUCUCUGCAAAGCCGAAAGGCAACGUAUAGGGGGUGACACCUGCCCAGUGCUGGUAGAUUAACGGUGGUGGUGACUGUCGCAAGAUGGAGGCCAUUGCCCGAAGUCCCAGUGAACGGCAGCAGUAACUAUAACUGUUCUAUGGUUCCGCCUGAAAGAAGGCGUAGCUGCCAUAGUGAGGUAUUCAAACCUCUUCUCGGUACCGAUCGCAAUCGAGUACCGGAAAAAACUUGACUAUAUGCUGGAAAGCCCGGAAGAAUCAGCAGUACUUGACCUAUAGCGAUAUAAUUAAGGUUGAGUGACAAUUUGCUGUGGAUGAGUGAUCAGCAGGAAAGGUUGGGUAAGAAAGUGACAGAAGAAGAGAAACAACAAAUUUAUGCAGCGCUAGGGGUUCACCCGGAUAAUGUUGGGGAAUCUCCUGGGCCGCCAGUGCGAAGAAAACGGCCUGAGGAAGAAGAAGCGAAGAGUGGGGGAGGGAAAGGGGAGAGAAAGAGAAGCGAUGGAAGUGUGCAUGACUUGGUAAAUGAUUUACUGAAGGACGUCACUUUAUAACCCAGAAAUCCUCAGAGACUAUACGUCAAGAUGAUGCACCGACUGGUGCGUUAAAGAUAUAGUCCAAACUUCAAAAUGGAAUUUGAAGAUUUUUGAGCGAAGUUCCUUGUCGGGUAAGUUCCGACCCGCACGAAAGGUAGAAUGACAUAGCGACUGUCUUGAGCAUAGGUCCGGCGAAAUUG
This is a non-coding RNA of Candidatus Gottesmanbacteria bacterium, 3059 nucleotides long. NCBI's taxonomy places the organism in Bacteria, Candidatus Gottesmaniibacteriota. The record is from Rfam.